ACAGUUUACCGCCUGAUGACUACCAUGGCUGUAACUUAUACAGGAGGAUUCCUGCAAAAAUAGUAAGCUGCUCAAAAGAGUUUACACCAAGUGGUACCUCUCCAGUUCCGUACGAACUUGACCAUCUCCAGAAUGCUGCCGAAAAUAUCUUCGGCCCAAUAUCCUGCCUUAGCGGCACAGGACAGUACUUCUCAUAUUUGGUGCAUGCUCAGCUAUACAUGUAUUUGCUUCCAUUGGAUUGCAGGAUCGUCUCCAGAGGCUCCAUUCCAAUUCCUGGCUCAGACUCCUGCAGUGGCCCAACGUUCAAGGAAAAAGCAGAAAAAUUCAUCAACUUUGCUGAGACGACUGUCAGUUGGGGGUCCUUUCAAGAUGGAGUUCUCGACAACUGCAUGGCGUGUGAACGUCAAAAGCAACUCUGUGCAUUCAGCUCACGAAGGAAUCAAACAUUCUGCACAAGCCACGGCAAUCAUCAUGGUACUAACUAUCCUAACUGCACAAACAUGAUCGUACCACCCAGCUUUGUUCCUGAACUAGUUUUCUACUCUUACUAUGAUUCAAGCAUUCAGCCAUACAGUACUAGUGCACCGCUCUCAAUACAUAUGCUCAAAACUAUUUUUGCAGGCUAGUAGCCUACUACUAGAAAUCAUUUAGGGAACUAACUAGCUUCAUCAAACAUUUUUGCACAAUUGCCAUAAAAGUGUCACAAUAUUUAGUAAAAUAAUGAUAGAAUUAUCUUGAUCAACUAGCAGCAGUUGGACGAUACAUGACAUUAAAGAUCAUAAAACCUGGGACUUCUCAAAGAUAUUUGCUAGAAUUGAUAUUGUCUAUGAACUUAUUGAGACUGCCUCUAUAAGACUUCCUUAUGGUUUCCUCUAGAAGUAGAAAGUAGCUCGAAUAUGUAAACAAGACUGCAAGGGAACACUUGACUGGGACAAGAUAUAAUCUAAGUUUUUUUUUAUUUUUUUGCCAGGUCGGCGAAAGGAAGCCGACCAAAAUUCAUUAAGAUAAAGGAAUAAUUACAGAGGUAUACACGAUAUAAUCUAAGUUUUGGUUUGUUACCUGAUAUAACAGGAGCUGCAGUUAGAUCUUUGGUUGCUUUGAUAAUAGAUUAGUAGACAUGGGAGGUGAUAUGUGGAAGCCUUUAUAAUUUAGCCCAUAACCCACCUCAACUCAUCCUAAUCAUCCUUAUCUGGCAUGACAAAAAUACGAGAGUUAGCACACAGAACUGUCUUAUGAUGAUACUGCAAAAUAAGAUGUAAGGAAAAUUUCACUAUUGCAAAUAUAUUCAUAUGAUCAUGGUGCAUAAAAAUUUAGAGCCAAAACUCUAUCCUACCCCACCAGGGCCAUGUUCGCUGAUACAUUUUGUUGGAUUGCUCUGUUUUUAUUUUCAAGAUGUAAUUAUCCAUUAUCUGUUAAAACCACCAACCAGAACUUAUUAUCUUCGUUCAUACUUGCAGGUUAGCGUGUGAAAGUCAUUUCAGGUACUGCAGUACUCAAACCUACCUUUCUAUUAAAAAGAGAAAAGAAACAAUGUUAUCAGUACAUAUAAAUUCUUAUUGCUAGCAGUUCUGAGUCUUCUGACUCAGCAUUCUUCUGCUAAAAAAGACACCACCUGCUCUUACAGUACCCAUCAGGCAAUCACAAUCAGUUGAUUACUAGCCACAACUUUCGAUCCUAAUGCAAUGUGCUAAUUUCCCCUUCUCUGUUAAUUCAGCUACAUCAUCGGUAGCCGCAUUUGUUGUUUUUUCGUUCAUCAUGGCCACAGCACUCUAUCUUUCACUGAAGUCAAGGUAUGAUGAAGAGGUACAUUUGAAGGUUGAAAUGUUCCUCAGGACAUAUGGCACAUCGAAGCCCACAAGGUACAGUUUCUCUGAUGUUAAGAAGAUAACGAGACGCUUCAAGGAACAAUUAGGUCAGGGUGGAUUUGGAAGUGUAUACAAAGGACGACUACCAAACGGAGUGCCUGUGGCAGUUAAAAUGAUAGAACACUCUACAGGAAAUGGAGAAGAGUUCAUCAAUGAAGUAGCAACAAUUGGACAAAUUCAUCAUAUAAACAUUGCCCGCCUUCUGGGAUUCUGCUCUGAAGGAACACGGCACAUUCUUAUCUAUGAAUUCAUGCCUAAUGAAUCAUUGGAGAAAUGCAUAUUCUUGCAUGACCCUAAUACUUCUCAAGAACUCCUAGCACCAAAAAAGAUGUUAGAUGUUGCCUUAGGCAUUGCCCGAGGAAUGGAGUAUCUUCAUCAAGGAUGCAACCAACGCAUCCUCCAUUUUGAUAUCAAGCCUAAUAAUAUAUUGCUUGACUAUAACUUCAAUCCGAAGAUUUCAGACUUUGGUCUUGCAAAGCUGUGUGCAAGGGACCAAAGCAUUGUUACCUUGACCAAAGCAAGAGGCACGAUGGGCUACAUUGCACCAGAGCUAUAUUCUAGGAACUUUGGGGAGAUAUCUUACAAGUCAGAUGUAUAUAGUUUUGGCAUGCUUGUGUUAGAAAUGGUGAGUGGAAGGAGAAACUCAGACCCGAGUAUUGAGAACCAAAAUGAGGUCUACUUUCCAGAGUGGAUCUAUGAGAAAGUAAUUACUGAGCAGGACUUUGUACUUAGUAGGGAAAUGACAGAAGAAGUAGACUGAAGGUUAGACAGAUGGCCCUCGUGGCACUGUGGUGCAUUCAGUGGAACCCAAGAAACCGUCCCACAAUGACGAAGGUUGUAAACAUGCUAACUGGAAGGUUGCAGAAUAUAGAGGUGCCCCCUAAGCCAUUUGUUUCAUAUGAAAGCCAUGUUGUGCCAUAAAUCAUAGUAAUGUUAUGGGAGUUAUACUUAGUUGACGUGCUGCAUAGUAAUGCUGAUUAACUGUAUGAAGUAUGAAUCGUCGCUCUUUAUUACCAUGUAUUAAAAGUAAUAAGAAACACAUCAGUUGAUGUGAUUACCUUGUUCAGUUGUUGCGAUGUAUAUCUCCAUCCAACCACGGUGUGCAGAGUACUCCUCGCUGUACUAUUUCAGUAAGAUGCCGUCCUCGUCCGUUUCAUGGGUCCAUAUCUAGUGGCUUGCAAGAAAAUCCUGCAAGGAAAUUGAAUUAUGGCAAUUUUUCCCAUGCAGCACAAAUAUAAAAUAUCGAAGCAAAGAGUAUUAUUUUUGUCUGUUUGUCCGUGCGAACGGCCGACUAGGGUAACAUUCAUACCCUGAAUUCGUCACUGAAUAAAGAAGUAGAUUCAUAUCCUAAAUUCCUCACUGAACUAAGAAGUAUAAUAAGUUAAGUUGGCUUGGUCACAUUCCUAUCCAUCCCAUUCAAAAAGUCAGGGCCCGCCUAUCUAUCUGAUGGAAAUCUCACAGCAAACAGGAUGCUGCUGGGCAAGCAAUCGAGGAGCUACGAAUUUGCAAUGUGAAGAGAUGAAUGGGCAUGGACUCGACUAGUGAAUAAGUACACUUUAAUAAAAACUUAGGAAAAAUAAUCAAAAGCAGAGGAAACGGGCUACCUUUAUCAAUGCAAGGAGGGGGCAGCGAACCGAACAACCACCGGAUCAGGAGACCUCCCCGAGUUCUGUCAAUCCUGCGGCUCGGCGUGGCAUCCCGCUUGGGGCCUGGAUUUGCGGCUCGGGUCUCACAAGGACGCAGGGAGAAGGCGACGCAUAGCCCGGGCAACGCGCAUUGACGGCGGAGCGCAAAGCAGAGACAUCGCCGGGGAAGCAGAGGCGGCUGGGAGUCGGUGGGAUCGCCGGCGACGGCGAAGGGUUCGUGGCAAGAGAGGGAGGAAAGGGGAUUCCGUACGGUUUGCAACCAGAAACUAAGCUCGGCCUAGGGCUAGUAAUGGGGCCGGCCCUAAAGCUCCUGCCGCUA
This 3830-nucleotide long non-coding RNA is filed under the name Oryza sativa (Asian cultivated rice). Its description in RNAcentral is "long non-coding RNA (OSAT_LNC000134)". The record is from RNAcentral. Lineage: Eukaryota; Viridiplantae; Streptophyta; Magnoliopsida; Poales; Poaceae.